UGAUCUGGCCACUCAGUGUG
RNAcentral lists this microRNA (20 nucleotides) under Eptesicus fuscus (big brown bat). RNAcentral's name for it is "efu-miR-9256a". The record is from miRBase by way of RNAcentral. Lineage: Eukaryota; Metazoa; Chordata; Mammalia; Chiroptera; Vespertilionidae.